Molecule: long non-coding RNA, 1745 nt
Organism: Syngnathoides biaculeatus (alligator pipefish)
Lineage: Eukaryota; Metazoa; Chordata; Actinopteri; Syngnathiformes; Syngnathidae
Exons: 3
Source: RefSeq, a predicted model, not a curated record
AGUGUGGCUCUCACUACGUUCCCGCAGGCUACGUAACGGCAAAGUCAUCUUCAGAAGAGUGUCUAAAAUGUCGUCUUGGAGGUCUUGGAGAGACUUUUGGAAGGUGCCGCAGUACGUCUUGGAACUACUUGUUGUGACUGUGAGAAUUUUAAUUCAAUGGGCAAAGGAAGAGUUUAGGAAGUACUUUUGUCAAGUCCACUGUCUGUCUGGUACCGCCCGCCUCCACAUGGUGUCACUCUUGAGCUUUUCACGCCAAGCGGCUGCCUCGUCCCAUUCCAUCACUUGCGGGAAAAGAUGAUGGCCAGUCGCUCCCCCCUACCCCUCCCACAUCUAACAAAGACUUCCAUCAAUCACUGAAAAAGUCAGGCUGCGAUUAUUAGAAAACAUUUGGUGCAGUUUGGUGAUCGGAAAACGUGAUCAUCAAGUAUUGGAGUGAAGUUUUUCCGGUGUACUGUAGGCCUUGCUUCUUCUUCUCCUUCUUCUUCUUCUUCUUCUCGGUGCCGGCAGGGAAGCUUCCUGUCGUGUGCGGCUUUGAUCGGAAAAAAGAACUGAGUUAAAGCGCUGGGAAAAGGAGGAGGUUUGGCGGCUAAAUACGGUUCCUUGCCCCACGAAGCCGACCGCAAGUGUUGUAAAGAGUCACCGUUGGAAUGGAGACUCAGGCAAACUGCUUGAGUGCUAACAGGAGACCGAGAUUGACAGACUGCUAAUGGCUUAUUUGACUUCGGAGAUGGCCCUGGCACAAACACGGCCUCCACCCCCACCCCCCCACCGUACCCUCGGCGGCCAUCGGCGGCGGCUCGGCGUGGACGCUCGCCGGCGACAUCCGACGACUUCAGCAGAUUCCCCCCGCGUAAGUGCUCACCAGAUGCCCGGCGUGCCGGUCUUCAAGAAAAGACGCUCAUGGUGACACGGGGAGCCGUUGGUGCCCCCAUAAAAGCCACAAACCUGCUGUCAUAUGAGGGUGGGGGGGUGGGGGUGGAGAAUGCUUUGACGAUUAAAACCGACCCACUCACAAAAAAUAGCUACUUUAUGACCUUAAGACAGCGUUUAGACUGCAGAUCAGUGGUGCGAGAUUCUGAUUUAAUGCCUAAAUUUGAUCUAUUUCCAUGUGCAGUGCUGCCAUGACAUAAACUGGCACAAACCGGUGUUCGACUGAUAAAGAAUUCUUGAAAAAAUUAACCAAAAAAACUGUUUUAAAUUCAUUGGUACUUCCAGGCUGCACGGUGGGUCGGCUGGAAAGCGUUUGACUCACAGUUCUAAGGACCUGGGUUCAAUCCCGGACCCGCCUGUGUGGAGUUUGCACGUUCUCCCCGUGCGUGCGUGAGUUUCCUCCGGGCACUCCGGUUUCCUCCCACACCGCAAGAACAUGCAACAUUAAUUGGAGACUCUAAAUUGCCCCUAGGUGUGAUUGUUUGUGCGGCUGUUUGUCACGACGUGCCCUGCGAUUGGCUGGCCACCAGUCCAGGGUGUACCCUGCGUCCUGCCCGUUGAGAACUGAUAUCGGCUCUGGCACUCCCCGCAACCAUUGUGAGAAUAAGCGGCUAAGAAAAUGGAUGGAUGGUAUAUUGCUGCUCCCACGUAAAGUUUGCUGUCAAACUACAUAUCAAACUAUGAGAAUUGCAUGUUGUGUACCUCAAACAAUCACAGUUUUGCCGUAGGACAGUCCGCUUAGCUUUAUUAUUAUUCUUUAUCUUGAAGAACAACUAAUAUGAUUGCAGCUUUAGUGAGGAGCUGCGACUUCUCUC